This 323-nucleotide unclassified non-coding RNA is filed under the name soil metagenome. Its description in RNAcentral is "partial contains 5.8S ribosomal RNA, internal transcribed spacer 2, and large subunit ribosomal RNA". The stretch from base 1 to 120 matches the Rfam family "5.8S ribosomal RNA", at positions 35 to 154 of the family's 154-position model. The record is from RNAcentral.
GAUGAAGAACGUAGCGAAAUGCGAUAAGUAAUGCGAAUUGCAGAAUUCAGUGAGUCAUCGAAUCUUUGAACGCACAUUGCGCCCUGUGGUAUUCCGCAGGGCAUGCCUGUUCGAGCGUCAUUUCAACCCUCAAGCUCUGCUUGGUGUUGGGCCCUGCCCGCUGCGGCCGGCCCUAAAGACAGUGGCGGUGCCGCCUGGCCCUGAGCGUAGUACAUCUCUCGCUCCAGUGCCCGGUGGUAGCCUGCCAGAACCCCAACUCUCGUGGUUGACCUCGUAUCAGGUAGGGAUACCCGCUGAACUUAAGCAUAUCAAUAAGCGGAGGA